This 2619-nucleotide long non-coding RNA is filed under the name Canis lupus familiaris (dog). Its description in RNAcentral is "lncRNA (ENSCAFG00040000176.1)". Lineage: Eukaryota; Metazoa; Chordata; Mammalia; Carnivora; Canidae. The record is from RNAcentral.
AUGUCCAGUUCUGGCCCAAGUAACUCCAGCAAGUCACUGGGUGGGAGAGGUCUGUCUCCAGGGAAGACAGGUCCUGAAGCUAAAAAAGCUGCAGUAGCUCAUGUGCCCAUCCUGGCCAGCGGCCUCGGCAGCGGUCAUGUCCAUGCCUGGUGCAGCACAUCAGGCUCCAGCCCUGGCCCCAAGCGCUCCACCUGAAGGCCUCGGACAUCACACCUGCCUGGUCAUGGAUCAUAAAAUGUCCGAGCUGGGAAGGGAUAAAGGAAGUAUCUAGUUCCACCUGCUCUCCUAACAGAUGUGGAAAUACAAAUCAAGAGGGGAAUAAGAACUUGCCUGAUGCCACCCAGAUCGUUUACUCUAUAGACAUGUGCCUUGAACUCAGGGAUUUUGGAGCCUGGGUCACAUUAGAAUAGUUUUCUCUACUCUUCAUUUAAUUUUGGAAGCAAAAACUAGCCUUACUCUAGAUAAUUCGGGUCUGCCACAGUACAUGUGACUUUCUCAAGGGAUAAUUUGGUUGGGUACUACAAGAGACCCAAAUAACAUCUGAGGUCUUUGGGCGCUUGGUUAUGCUGGGAGUGGGUAACCCCAACAUGUCAGCAAUUCCAGCCAAGAUCCCUUCAGCCAAAAUAACUGCAUGUCUUUAUUAUUAUUAUUGAUUUAUUCAUGAGCGGCUCAAAGAGAGCCUGAUGCAAGACUCGAUCCCAGGAUUCUAGGAUCAUGACCUGAGCCAAAGGCAGAUGCUCAACCACUGAGCCACCCAGGAGCCCCAUAACUGCAUGCUCUUAAGAUGUCAGAUCCCUACAGAAAAUUACUGUUUUUUUUUUUAAUUAAUCACUGUUGUUUUUAACUUGGAGAUACUCCAUCUAGCUUUAUGCAAGAAAUAUGCUUCUAAAAACUCAUCUAUCUAAUGAAAAUUGAUGCAUAAAUGCUCUGAGUCCAAAUAUCCUUUUAAAAUAUUCACACUAGAGGUAGCCAUAGUUGCAGCUAUGGUGGAAGAAGCAUCCACAGUUAACACAGACCGGUUUGGGUUUUUUUUUUUAUGAAAUUACAUUUUUUCAUUGACUUUCCAUUAUAAUUCCCAUGAAGCAUUAAUGCCUCUUCAUCCCUGAUUGAUCUUUAACUGGUGGUGGCUUUUAACACUUUGGCUUUUUGGUUUCCUACUCUCCCUCCCUAAAAUAGACAGUAUGGGAUCUAUCAGGACACAUUUACACACCCAGGAAUGUAAGCUGCUGGGGGUGGGGGUGGGGGGGAUGCUGGUAUCAGGUGCUUGCUAUUUAAACAGAACUCUGUGGCAAAUCCCUAGAUAAGCCAAAGACUUGUUAUGUAAUAAAAAUAAUUGCCUUUUAAUUGGCCUAUUUGAUUAUUUAUUUUUUUCUCUCAAGCUCCCUUGGGAGGCAGUACAGAACACUGGGAACUAUCCACUGAGUGAAUCCCAUAAUUAAGGCCUGACACUCUGCCAUUUAUUCGCUUUGGGAUUUAGAACAAACCAUUCAAGCACUCUGUGCCUUGAUGUCCCCAACCUGUAAGAUGAAUUGUUGUGAUGAUCAAAUGACUACACAGUCUCCCACCUUCUUCUCCUUUUGUCCUUUCUUUAUUUCUUAAGACAAACUUGCUAGGCUAGAGGGGCUGUUUCAGGACAGGACUCGCCUAGGCCACCUGCUGACCCAUCUUCAGUGGAGAUUUAUUGGCACCACCAUGUGACCCAUCCCUGGCCUUCUGGGUCAGUCACUUCCUCCCCUGGCAUGUCCUUUUCUCCCUGUGAGUAGGUCUUGCAUGUUGCUCUAGCAUCAGUGCCAGAGCAUCUGUAGAACCCAAGCACAAAAGGCAUCUUCAAGGCCCUCAAUCUUGGCAUAUCUUAUGCCCCCCACUGAAGCACCUUCUCCAUUUUGUCCAUUUCGUGAUUUCAGAAAGACUCAACAAAGCACCACCUCUCCUGUGAAACCUUCUCUGCCUAGUGUGCUCUCAUUACUGACUUGAUUUUACAAACAGGGUCCGAUCAUGGGCUCCAUAAAUCUCCACUGAGCUCUCCUGCAGACACAUCUGUCUCUUCAACUAGUCGGUAAGAUCCUUAUGCAGAACAGCCUUGACUUAUUGAACAUGUAUCCCCAGCGUGUAACAUGGCCCCUGAUGCAGUAGGUGCUCAGUAAAAGUUUGUAGAGUAGAUGAAGGAAUGCAUGAAUGAGUGUUGAACUAAAGCUGGCAAUAAGCAGAGUGUAUGGUGCUGAAUAGCACACCCCCAAAUUCAGAACCAUGAGAACCUGUGAAUGUAGCCUUUUCUGGAAAUAGGAUCCUUACAGCUAUAAUCAAGUCACACUGGGCUGGGAGUGCUGUUAUUCAGUGACUGGUAUCCUUGUAAGAAGAAAAUCUGGACACACACACACACACACAUACACACAGAGCAGUUGGUCAUGUGAAGUUGGAGGUAGAGUUUGGAGCCAGGCUGCCUCGUGCCAAGAAAUGCCAAGGAUUAUUGGCAAACACCAGAAGCCAGAAAAGUCAGGGAAGGAUUCCCCACCUAGAAACUUCAGGGGGAGCAUGACCUGCGGACACCUUUAUUUACAAUUUCUAGCCAAUGAGAGGAUACACUUGUAUUGUUUUAAGCCACCCAGCUUAAAACUUGUG